RNAcentral lists this transfer RNA (67 nucleotides) under Heminoemacheilus parva. RNAcentral describes it as "tRNA-Ser". The record is from RNAcentral. Lineage: Eukaryota; Metazoa; Chordata; Actinopteri; Cypriniformes; Nemacheilidae.
AAGGAAGGCUGGAAGCAAUAAGCACUGCUAAUACUUACACCCACGGUUAAAUUCCGCGGCUUCCUUA